CAACGUUGUUCUCCUGGUUCAACCUAGUCAAGCAAAGAGUUCUCUGUUCUUCGUUGAGAUAUUUGCUCUUCUCGGGCUUGCUGGGCAUGAAGAAGAAGACACAAAUAGCAAGAAGAAUGGAAGGGCAACCCUCAAUCAAGAACAAGAUCCUCCAUUGCUCGAUAGGACUGUUCUUGAUACUAGACACCCCAAACGAGAUCAAACCGCCGAAAGCACCAGAGACCGCACCAGCCGAGAUGAAGAGACCAACGCGCUUGGCGAGAUCUGACUUGGUGUACCAGAAGGAGAAGUGAAGAGCCAUCGCUUGACCGAACAUGGAUUCACCGACACCGACAAAAAGACGACAAACGUAGAGUCCGGCCUUGUUGAAAGCAGCUGCUUGGCAGGUUGCGGCGAUGGAUCAAAUCAUAGCACCGCAGGCGAUAGAUCUAGAAGGAAGGAAUUGCUUGGCCAGGAGAGUACCGGGGACCUUUUGAAGGACGUUAGAAGAGAGACGCGAGCAGCACUGUCAUAAGUUUACGCACUGAGAACACAAUGUACUGCAGGAACGGUAUCAGCAUAAAUACGCAUCGAGAAAUGAACCGAGAACGUACAGUCACGAAGAAACAGCAGAGAGCAAUCGAGUAGUUUCUGUCUUCACCAUCCAAGAGUUCCUCCUGCAGACCUUGCAAUCUCGCGUUUGCUCUUUCCGCCAAAGUUAGCUCUGCAACAUGCCCACUUCAGUGUAACAGCUCACAAGUUUCCUCUGUCAAGGUAGGCGCUCAGGUACAACAAAACCGCAAAAGGCAAAAUGGCAACGUCUGCGCAGCAAUAACUUCCUCUCCGCUUUCUUGUGUUCCUUCUUGUAGAGCAAGCCAGAUUCACUCUCGGCAUAUCUUGUACUUCCCUUCUCGGUGUCACCGCCUUCAGUCGUACGCGUGCCGAUGGGAUGCAAGGGAGACUGCUUCUCAGCAUCGACAUCCUCGGUCUGCACCUCGAUCGGUUUUUCAAUCUCUACUGGAUCUGUGUUAAAAGUUGCGUGUCGAACCAUAUUACUGGGGCGGCAACUGGGCAAAAUGGAUUAGACGGAAAAUUUAAAGGGCGGUGGCUUUGAGUUGAGGUGUGAGCCCUAAUGAUAUUUUGGAAUAUGGUGAAUUCCAAAAAAUGGUUUGAGAAGGGGAGCGGCUUGACUUCAUGAGGUUCAUAAGCCUUUAUAUGCUUGGAGCGCUAUCUGGCGUUACACAUAUGAGCCGGUCAGCAGGGGGCACGUAUAAUAUCGAUAUCAAAUCUAAAUUGUGUCCGUGUCGGAAACUUGGCAAACCUUUUCUGUCCAUUCGUCGAUGCCGCUUUCCCUGCCGAAAAUGCAAAGACCGCUGUUCGUUGCAGAACAUAACAAUAACUCUUUACUCCUCGUUCCUCGAGGCUUUCGCGGGCCAAUCACUAGCCACCAAAUUGCGGACAUCAACCCGAAAUUCGAUAAAGCGGGGUAGGCUUUUCGUAUUUCUCCACGCCCCCCACGCAUACCCUUAGCUCCUGCUGCCCUCAGCCACUAGUAGUUAGUCGUCCCUCUGUCCUUUAUCAUUAGCCCAUUUUCGAAUCCCAGAACAAUCUUCCAGAUCGUACAUGCAGUCGUCGCCAUGCAUAUAGGGUGUCCAGAG
Molecule: small RNA, 1637 nt
Filed under: Cryptococcus neoformans H99
Lineage: Eukaryota; Fungi; Basidiomycota; Tremellomycetes; Tremellales; Cryptococcaceae
Description: Cryptococcus neoformans var. grubii H99 hypothetical RNA
Source: RNAcentral